AUGUCCGAGCCGGAGCACCUGGGCGGGAAGCGGGCCGAGUCGGCGCGGCUGCGGCGGGCCGAGCAGCUGCGGCGCUGGAAAGGCUCCCUGACCGAGCAGGAGCCGGUGGCGGCGGGGGGCGGCCGCGGCCGGCAUCGCGGCGCGGGGGGGUCCCGCGUCCGCUUCGAGGAGGGCGCCGUGUUCCUGGCCGCCUGCUCCAGCGGCGACACCGAGGAGGUGAAGAGGCUGCUGGGCCGCGGCGCCCUCAUCAACACCACCAAUGUGGACGGGCUGACAGCCCUGCACCAGGCCUGUAUUGAUGAGAACCUGGACAUGGUGAAGUUCCUGGUAGAAAAUGGAGCAAAUGUGAACCAGCAAGACAACGAGGGCUGGACCCCUCUUCAUGCAGUGGCAUCCUGUGGCUACCUGAACAUAGCAGAGUUCCUGAUCAGCCACGGCGCCAACGUGGCUGCAGUGAACAGUGAGGGGGAGGUCCCGUCCGACAUCGCGGAGGAGGCGGCCAUGAAGGACCUGCUUCUGGAGCAAGUCAAGAAACAAGGUGUAGACCUAGAGCUGUCAAGGAAAGAAGAGGAGCAGCAAAUGCUCCAGGAUGCCCGACAGUGGCUGAACAGUGGGAGAAUUGAGGAUGUAAAGCAGCCUCGGACAGGAGCCACAGCUCUUCAUGUUGCUGCAGCCAAGGGCUAUUCUGAAGUCAUGAGGCUCCUGAUCCAGGCUGGGUUUAAUUUGAACGUCCAGGACAAUGAUGGCUGGACUCCUCUGCACGCUGCUGCUCACUGGGGAGUGAAGGAAGCAUGUUCCAUCCUGGCUGAGGCUCUGUGUGACAUGGACAUCAGGAACAAGCUGGGCCAGACGCCCUUUGACGUUGCUGAUGAGGGGCUUGUGGAGCAUUUAGAAAUGCUGCAGAAGAAACAGACUGUGCUGCGAAGUGAGAAGGAGACAAGAAAUAAGCUGAUUGAAGCUGACAUGAAUGGGAAGCCUCAAAACAGACUCUUCACCAACAAAGAGAAGAUUCUUUAUGAGGAAGACACGUUGAAGUCUAUGGAAACUGAGGAAGAGAACAAGGACUCGAGCAGUUCUAGUUCUGAAGAGGAAGAAGCUGAAGAUGAAGUUUCAGAAUCGGAUGCUGAAAAGGAGUCAGAGAGAAAGGAAGAGCCCUUUGCCAACCACUCCAGCCGUGAACCCAGGCCCAGCAUCACUGAGCAAAUGCCACCACCCGAGCCCAACUCCUUCACUGCAUCUGCCAGAAGAUUCAGCUGGCUCAGCAAGUCAGACGAGCAGAAGGAUGAGUCUCCUUCCUCGUGGCGGCUGGGCCUGAGGAAGACUGGCAGCCACAACAUGCUGAGUGAAGUCGCUGCCACUCGUGAGGCACAGAGGGAUAAAACUUCCUCUAUCUAUCGCUCCUCAUCCAGCCCUCGGAUAUCUGCGCUGUUGGACAACAAGGAAAAGGACAGAGACAACAAGAGUUAUCUUGCCACCAUAGUACCCAGAAGACUGAGCAGUACGAGCGAUAUAGAAGAAAAAGAAAACAGAGAAUCCGCUGUGAACCUGGUGCGGAGCGGCUCCUACAGCCGGCAGCCCUGGAGGGAUGAGCCAAAGGGAAACGAAGCUCCCCACUCUGGUGCACCCACUACCUACGUAUCCACCUACUUGAAAAGUGCUUCAUUUGGUAGAAGUAGUGACCUGAGCAGUCCCUACAUUUCAGCCAGUCGCAGUCCAUCUCUAGCUACCUCACCCACUGCCAUUGGCUCAUCUACCUCCCUGGGCACCCCGUGGCAACCUGUCUCUUGCUGUCCCACAUCUCUCGGUGUGAACACUCCUGCUUCAGCCCGCCACAACACCAGAGCCCCUUUCAGGCAACAAACUGAUUCUGCCGUAGAGAAAAACGCAGAGGGCAGCUGUGCCAGCACCCCUCUAGGUGUAAUCACAAACCGUGCUGUGCUCGGCACUGCCAACGGCACCGGGAAUGCCGGGGCAGCCUCCGCCCCAGGGAAGGACCUCUCGGCUGAGGAGGCCAGGGAGCGCAGAAGGUCAUAUCUGACUCCGGUGCGGGAUGAGGAAGCAGAGUCACUGAGGAAGGCACGAUCCAGACAGGCCCGGCAGACUCGCAGGUCUACCCAGGGUGUGACGCUGACGGAUCUGCAGGAGGCCGAGCGCACGUUCAGCCGGUCCCGGGCGGAGCGCCAGGCGCAGGAGCAGCAGAGCGACAGAGCCGACGACAGCGGCGAGAGGCCCGAGAGCCGCGCGCGCUGGGGCAGGAGUGCGGACGACGAGACCGUCUAUCGGCGAUUGAGGGGCCCAGCCCAGCCCGACAAACCCACGACACCUGUGUCUCCUUCCACAGCAGCACCUCUGCUCUAUACAAGCUCGUACCUGACUCGAACAAAUAAAUAUCUAGGGCUGGACUCCGUGAAUCCAGCAGAUUUCAGAGCGGCGGCCACGGAGAUGGAGAAAAAUGAGUGUGAAGAUCAGGAUUCAGAUGACAGAUCCCUGAACAAACAGUCGAUCCGAGAGCGGCGACGGCCAAAGGAGAGACGGAGAGGCACUGGCAUCAUCUUCUCAACACAAGAUGAUGAUGAUGAAGUUGAUGGAAACGAGGAAGUGAAGGAAACUCGGCAUGAAAGACUUUCCAGGUUGGAAGCAGCUACGAACCCCAGCACGAGCGACUCGUCCUACAGCGAGCGCGCCUCCGGCCGCUCCAGCGCCUACAGCCGCAGGGAGAAUCGCCUCGCCGCCCUCAGCAGCCGGCCAGAGGAGGAGAGCAACAGGGACUACAAGAAAUUAUACGAGAGUGCCCUGUCUGAAAAUCAGAAGCUGAAGUCAAAGCUGCAGGAAGCCCAGCUCGAGCUGGCUGAUAUCAAAGCAAAGUUGGAAAAAGCAGCCCAGCAGAAACAGGAGAAAACUUCUGACCGGUCCAGCAUGCUGGAGAUGGAGAAGAGGGAGAAGCGAGCCCUGGAGCGGAAACUCUCUGAAAUGGAGGAGGAAAUGAAGAAUCUCCACCAGCUCAAACAGAUUCACACUCUGAGGCAGAUGAAUGAGCAGCUGCUGGCUGAGAACAGGGCUCUGACCCGGGUCGUAGCCAGGCUUUCUCUGCCCGCCAAGCCCUCGGAAUCAGAGGAGCUGUAGCUGCUUUCCCUCCGGCUCAUCUUGCCUCCCUCUUCCACACUUCCAGGCAGAUUUUGACAGAGCUGAAGUCGGACAACCAAAGGCUGAAGGAUGAGAACGGAGCCCUCAUUCGUGUCAUCAGCAAACUCUCCAAAUAGGAAUCCUGAGCAAAGGCAGGACGAGGAGGGGUGUCCUACACCAGCUGCCAACCCCAGCACCGAGCCCUUCCCCCCUUCCCUUCCCGUCACGUACAGCAAGCGUUUCAGCUGUGGGAUCAAUGUCACACCUGCCUUGCCCUGCCCUUUGCUGUACAUUCCCUUUCUACCCCCAUUUCCCCACAACACAGCCCCUGCCAUUUUUAUUUUUUUUUUUUUUAAUUUAUGCAUGUUGUGGUAUCUCGGACAUUUUAUUCAAGGGAGAAAUGUGAGGACUGAGUUUGAGCUGCCAAAACUUCUUCCAGAAGCUCAGUAUUUGGUUUUGGACUCUGACCCGGAGUGGGAAGCUCCUACUGUAAAAAGUGACAUCUGAAGAACUAACCCAGCAUAUCCAAGCCCUUUCCAGGUGGGAAAUGUGAACCUGGGUUGCGACUCUGAGGAUGCACAUCAGCCCACUGAGAUGUGGGACUCUGGUUAAAUGUGAUGCUGUGAAAGCCACCAGAGCUCAUGUUUGUCACAGGCUGAUGAGCUGUUUUGCACAGAGACCUUCUCCUCUUGCCCCAGUAGACUGAGACUUCUAUUUAAAAUCAGAUUUUACUGUUCAGUAACAACAGUGCUGACACUCAGUGUCAGACCCUUAUCCCUCCCCUCCCUUCACCCCACAGCCCAGGUGAUCCUGUGUCACGUUGUGUCCUUCCAGGGCUCUUGUCCCUGUGGUUCGUAGCAGCCAGUUGCCACCUGAACUCUUGUUCCUUGGGACAGGAUAUAGGCACUUCCUGAGCUUUUUGAAGGACAAACGUGAACCCCUACAGACCCUCUACUGCUCUCACCUGUGUGAGCAUGAAUCACCUUGCACAAGGGAGCUGUGCCCGUGCCAGAAACCAGCCUCCCCUUCCCAACAGCCAUCUGGGACAUUCUCCUGCGGCCUUCCUGCAGGCAGAGCCCCAUAGCAGAGCCUGGUCUGGUAUUUCAGGUGCCCCCCCCUUUGAUUUGCAGCAGGAUUUGUAGAGAAGAAUGCCAGCAUCCUGUCCCACACACCUUGGAAAGGUCAGGGUGUGUCAGUAUCAGAGGGACGAGGGGCUGCUGGUAACUGAAUCACCAUGAUAAAAGUCAUCUGACCUGUCAAAAACUUGUGAUAAGCUUUGACCUUGAAAGAAACUUCCAGAAAUACUCUUUAGUGUUACAUGCACUCUGAACAGUUUGGAAUUGUUCUCUCCCAUGGGCAUUUAGACAUUGGCUCCUCUCUCCAUCUGUGAGACAUCAUCAGGUCUGUUGAGCUUCCCGUUAACAGACUCCUCUCAAACAAUGCCUUCCCUCUCAGAGACAUCCUGCUGUAUCCAAAACAUUCUCCCAUCUACAUCCUUCCAUAUUUGUCCUUUCAUCCCCUUUGUCCUUCAACUCCCCAGAUUCUGUCUGGCCAAGAGCAGCAGUUCUUGAUCACUGAACCUGGAGGUGGCCAUGGAGCAGCUCUGCCACGUUCCUGAGCAGCUCUGCUGGCUCUGGCUGGGGGGACUCUCCACUGUCAGAGAGAUACUUGAACAUGAGCAGAAUACUUGAGCUUGCUCAACAGGGUAAAACUUAUCUCUAAUAGGGCAAUCCUGGGCUUUUUUGAACCUUUUGCUGGUUAUUGCCUCAGAAAGCAUCUCUCUCUUCCCCUCCCUGGGGUUUUCUCUCUUUGGUUCCUCCCCCCCAACCCCCCCAAAUUCUCCAUUUUUCCCCCUUCCCCUCCCUGUCCUGCCUGUUUCCACCUCUCUUGCUCUUCCUGGAGCUGCCAGUUUUCCCCACGCAGCUCUGACCACAAGUUGCUCUUCAGCUGAUGGAGCCCUUUGUGCAGCUGAGGCACCGUUUCUCCUGGUACACUGAGGCUCUUCCUCUGCUGCUGAGCUUUGAGAGGAAGAGACCAAAGCUGGUAAAGGCAUCAGGGUUUCUGCAGAGCACUGCCUAAGCCAGGCAUCCGUUCUAUAUUCCUUGAUUUUAUAUUCCUCUAUUUAACGGCUUUAAGUCUUGAGAUCCGGUCAAUGCUUCCCCCGCACGCCGUUCCCUCCUGGUGCGCUCUUUAUGUGAGUACUUCUGCCGUUCUUGAUGUUUUCUCUCUUGGUGACCCGCUCCUUGCUUCAGCCUCGGGCUCUGGCUCUGCUCAGAUCGGGGAUCAGGAGCCCGGUCCCAUCUGUGCCACGUGGAGGAGGAGAUGCUCCCCAGCUGGGCCGGCGCCUCAGGCUGCACAUCCCGGCAGGAUGAGGAGGAGAGUUCAGAAUAAAGAUCCUGUUCUUCUCACAGGCAGGUUCCUGGCAGCAGGAAGAAGCCUGGUGUCUGUUUUAGGAAGAGGGUUCAACCCAAUCUGAUAAAUCCAUCCUGCACUGACGUUUUUCCCCUUCCUACCAGGACACUCACUGUGCUUUUUCUCAAGGAACAGAGUGGGAAGGCUGUGGAAUGCUCGUUCUUCUGAGUGGCACCUUGCAAAGCCAAACCACUUUAGCUGAAGUGUCUGCUUAGCACUGGAUUCUCCCGAGCCCUGGGCCUCCACAGCUCAGUGUCCCUGAUCAGCCAAAGCUGUGAGCAUCUCGUCAUGACGGAGCAACUGCAAACCAAAUUCUUGAGAAUGGAUUUUUUUUUUUGUCUCACUUCAUGCCUGACAUAACCAGUGCACUGAGGAGGUGACAAACAGGACACCUCGAACCCUGUGCUUGGGGCAGGGUGCGGAGCAAAUAGGUUUUAAAAUUGAUCCCUCUUGGAACCAGAGCAUUUGCCAGACGUGGUCUCCCUUGGGGAACGUGAGCUUUUUUUUUCUAAGCAAUUGCUUGGGGUGAGUUAAUUCCUUAGGGUGAACCCACCUGUUGUGGCUGCAAAUUUGGUGAUGGCUCUUUGUAAAUAAACUCCUUGGAGAAGCAGGACUGGCUGACGAGAUGGGGAGAGAAUGUAUUUUUAUGCAACUUUUGAGUGGCCUUUCAAACCCUGAGAUGAAUGAUUUGUUUUACUGGUUGUUGUUAUAUAGUAUUAUAAGUAUUAUGUGUUUGAAAGUUUGGGAAUAAUAUUCACAGCUAUGAUGCUUGUAAACACAACAGUAUUUAUAAAUGAAUAAAAUAAGAGUUGAUAAAAUAGAA
This is an RNA transcript of Hirundo rustica (Barn swallow), 6358 nucleotides long. It is a transcript of the gene named protein phosphatase 1 regulatory subunit 12B, with no coding region annotated. The record is from RefSeq and is a predicted model, not a curated record. NCBI's taxonomy places the organism in Eukaryota, Metazoa, Chordata, Aves, Passeriformes, Hirundinidae. The transcript is spliced from 26 exons.